UACAGAGGUCCCAAGCGUUGUUCGGAUUCACUGGGCGUAAAGGGUGCGUAGGUGGCCGGUUAAGUCUGACGUGAAAUCUCCGAGCCUAACUCGGAAACUGCAUCGGAAACUAUCCGGCUCGAGGGUUGGAGGGGGGACUGGAAUACUUGGUGUAGCAGUGAAAUGCGUAGAUAUCAAGUGGAACACCAGUGGCGAAGGCGAGUCCCUGGACAACUCCUGACACUGAGGCACGAAAGCUAGGGGAGCAAACAGG
RNAcentral lists this ribosomal RNA (253 nucleotides) under uncultured bacterium. Its description in RNAcentral is "partial 16S ribosomal RNA". It matches the Rfam family "Bacterial small subunit ribosomal RNA", at positions 524 to 776 of the family's 1533-position model. The record is from RNAcentral.